Molecule: ribosomal RNA, 1273 nt
Filed under: metagenome
Description: bacterial LSU rRNA
Rfam family: Bacterial large subunit ribosomal RNA
Source: RNAcentral
AGGACAACGGGUUGAUAUUCCCGUACCGGCAUUAACACGACCCUGACGAACCGGGUAAUGCUAAGCGCCUGAAACUUCGGAUUCCUUCGGGAUGAAGAAGCGGAGCGCGCGAACCGAACCAGUAGUAGUCAAGCAAUGGGGUGACGCAGGAAGGUAACCCAACCCAGGCGAUGGUUGACCUGGGGUAAGGAUGUAGGGCGAGAUGUAGGCAAAUCCGCAUCUCACGUGCCUGAGAUCUGACGCCGAGCCGAUUCAGGUGAAGUGGGUAAUCCUAUGCUGCCAAGAAAAGCCUCUAGCGAGUGUUAAAGCCGCCCGUACCCCAAACCGACACAGGUGGUCAGGUAGAGAAUACUAAGGCGAUCGAGAUAACUAUGGUUAAGGAACUCGGCAAAAUGCCCCCGUAACUUCGGGAGAAGGGGGGCCCGUUCUGGUGAGGAGAUUUACUCUCCGAGCUGGGAUUGGCCGCAGAGACCAGGCCCAAGCGACUGUUUACUAAAAACACAGGUCCAUGCUAAGUCGCAAGACGCUGUAUAUGGACUGACGCCUGCCCGGUGCUGGAACGUUAAGGGGACGGGUUAGCGACUUCGGUCGCGAAGCUCAGAACUUAAGCGCCAGUAAACGGCGGUGGUAACUAUAACCAUCCUAAGGUAGCGAAAUUCCUUGUCGGGUAAGUUCCGACCUGCACGAAUGGCGUAACGACUUGGGCGCUGUCUCAACCGUAGACUCGGCGAAAUUGCACUACGAGUAAAGAUGCUCGUUACGCGCGGCAGGACGGAAAGACCCCGGGACCUUUACUACAGCUUGGUAUUGGUGGUCGAUUCGAUUUGUGUAGGAUAGGUGGGAGACUGUGAACUUCGGACGCCAGUUCGAAGGGAGUCAUCGUUGAAGUACCACUCUGAUCGUAUUGGCUGUCUAACCUAGAUCCGUAAUCCGGAUCAGGGACAGUGCCUGGUGGGUAGUUUAACUGGGGCGGUUGCCUCCUAAAAUGUAACGGAGGCGCUCAAAGGUUCCCUCAGCCUGGUUGGCAAUCAGGUAUCGAGUGUAAGUGCACAAGGGAGCUUGACUGUGAGACUGACGGGUCGAGCAGGGACGAAAGUCGGAACUAGUGAUCCGGCGCUGGCAAGUGGAAGCGGCGUCGCUCAACGGAUAAAAGGUACCCCGGGGAUAACAGGCUGAUCUUGCCCAAGAGUCCAUAUCGACGGCAUGGUUUGGCACCUCGAUGUCGGCUCGUCGCAUCCCGGGGCUGGAGUAGGUCCCAAGGGUUGGGCUGUUC